Molecule: ribosomal RNA, 270 nt
Filed under: uncultured archaeon
Lineage: Archaea
Description: partial 16S ribosomal RNA
Rfam family: Archaeal small subunit ribosomal RNA
Source: RNAcentral
CAGCACCUCAAGUGGUCAGGAUGAUUAUUGGGCCUAAAGCAUCCGUAGCCGGCGCUGUAAGUUUUCGGUUAAAUCUGUACGCUCAACGUACAGGCUGCCGGGAAUACUGCAGCGCUAGGGAGUGGGGGAGGUAGACGGUACUCGGUAGGAGGGGGUAAAAUCCUUUGAUCUAUUGAUGACCACCUGUGGCGAAGGCGGUCUACCAGAACACGUCCGACGGUGAGGGAUGAAAGCUGGGGGAGCAAACCGGAUUAGAUACCCGAGUAGUCC